CUUGUAGGUGGUGGAUCAAGUCGGAUGUGAAAUCUCCGGGCUUAACCCGGAGAUUGCAUUCGAAACUGAUCCGCUAGAGUACCGGAGAGGGAAACGGAAUUCCUGGUGUAGGGGUGAAAUCUGUAGAUAUCAGGAAGAACACCGGUGGCGAAGGCGGUUUCCUGGCCGGAUACUGACACUGAGGAGCGAAAGCUAGGGGAGCAAACA
Molecule: ribosomal RNA, 207 nt
Filed under: uncultured bacterium
Lineage: Bacteria
Description: partial 16S ribosomal RNA
Rfam family: Bacterial small subunit ribosomal RNA
Source: RNAcentral